RNAcentral lists this long non-coding RNA (932 nucleotides) under Musa acuminata (dwarf banana). Its description in RNAcentral is "long non-coding RNA (MACU_LNC009458)". The record is from RNAcentral. Lineage: Eukaryota; Viridiplantae; Streptophyta; Magnoliopsida; Zingiberales; Musaceae.
AAGAUCACAUUUUGAAGGUAAAUCAAGUAAGUCAUCCUGGGAUACAUUAGGCAAGGAGAUAAAUAAUGUCCAAUACUCUCAAAAUAAAAGAUCGGCUGAUCAAAUAUGCAAAAAGUGAUCAUUGGUUAUAUACCAAUCCAUACUGGUAUGAUAGGAAGAUAGCCAAUCCAUACCAAGUAUAAUAACAAAACUCCAUAUCUCUAGGAGAACUAAAUCAGCAAAAAGUUCAAGUUCUCCAAUGAGAAUCAGACAAGAGGACCAGAUUCAAGUUCGUUCUCAAAAAAAAAUCUCCAAUGAUCGUAUUUACAUAUAGCACAUAAUGUAGUGGUCUAGGUUGAAUACCCUAGAGAUUUGGAACAUAUUCCGAAUCAAAUCAUAGAUGGGACCCAUGGUCAAACAAAUAUUUGCAUUCUUUCAUAAACAUGCAUAAUACCUUUGACCACUAAUUCAUAAGUUUCAGAAUCAUAUUCAGUGAUAGCAUACACUUUGACAUGGGCUGAUGAUUUAUGAGGCAGUGACUCUUUCUUAUUGUUCAAAGGGCAGUCUUUUAUUUUAUGAUCCAACUUUCUACAAGCAAAAUAGACUCCAAUCACCCGAAACACAAAUUUAUUUCAUAAUUUAACUUAUAAUUCACACAUGAUUGAGUCUUUUGUGAUGACUUCCCAUUUCAAAUCCAAAGGUCUUGACCCUCUUGUUAUUACUUUCUGAUUCAUUUCCAAUCAUAUUUUUAUUGCUAAACUUAUCCUUAUCAUUCUUGCCACAUAUCUCCAAAAAUUCUUUUCAUUGUUGCCAAUAAUAAUCAGCCUCUACUUCCAAUAUAAGGUAGCAAAAGAAAUCUUUCGAUCAUCAGAACAAUUUCGUACGUCAAAUAUCUUCUCCGUUUGCAUCAUUCAUUUUUCUACCACCAAUGAAAUUAGGUUCAUCAUGCUUCU